RNAcentral lists this ribosomal RNA (293 nucleotides) under uncultured bacterium. Its description in RNAcentral is "partial 16S ribosomal RNA". It matches the Rfam family "Bacterial small subunit ribosomal RNA", at positions 505 to 796 of the family's 1533-position model. The record is from RNAcentral.
GUGCCAGCCGCCGCGGUAAUAUGGAGGGUGCAAGCGUUGUCCGGAAUCACUGGGCGUAAAGCGCGCGUAGGCGGCCGACUAAGUUGGAGGUGGAAGCCUGGGGCCCAACCCCAGAAUUGCCCCCAAAACUGGCCGGCUGGAGGACGGCAGGGGAGAGUGGAACUCCUGGUGGAGCGGUGAAAUGCGUAGAUAUCAGGAGGAACGCCAGCGGCGAAAGCGACUCUCUAGGUCGUUCCUGACGCUGAGUGUGCGAAAGCCAGGGUAGCGAACGGGAUUAGAAACCCGGGUAGUCC